CGAAGACCUGUUAUUAAUUCAAAAUGAGGAAAUUUAUCAUAUAAUUGAACUAAACUUUUUACAGCUAUAUAAAUUCCGAAAAAAUAAGGGAGCUCCUUGUCAAAUGAAUUCUGAGAAAACAAGGGAGCUCCUUAGUAUGACCUCUUAUAUUCAGAACCCACACAGAACCCACCCAAUUACAGAUAAUCAUCAUAUAAUUGAACUAAACUUUUUACAGUUAAAUGAAUUCCGAGAAAAGAAAGGAGAUCCUUGUUAAAUGAAUUCCAAGAAAAGAAAGGAGAUCCUUGGUAUGGCCUUUUAUAUUCAGAACCCACUUACAGGUCUCACAAAUACCACUCGAUCGCGGCGGUCCGUUGAGCUUCUCAGUGUGUCAGGGGAACCUAACCUAAUUCUACCUACCACCGAACCUAACCUCUUCAUAAUAGUGUGCAAUUAUGCAAAGAAUCUUUUCAAAAAAUUAUAUAAUGUUUCCUGAAUUUGAUAAAUGGGAGCAAAAUAUAACGAUUUUGUGUCUGGGAA
Molecule: long non-coding RNA, 519 nt
Organism: Bombus terrestris (buff-tailed bumblebee)
Lineage: Eukaryota; Metazoa; Arthropoda; Insecta; Hymenoptera; Apidae
Exons: 4
Source: RefSeq, a predicted model, not a curated record